RNAcentral lists this ribosomal RNA (417 nucleotides) under uncultured microorganism. Its description in RNAcentral is "bacterial SSU rRNA". It matches the Rfam family "Bacterial small subunit ribosomal RNA", at positions 9 to 423 of the family's 1533-position model. The record is from RNAcentral.
GAGUUUGAUCGUGGCUCAGAUUGAACGCUGGCGGCAUGCCUUACACAUGCAAGUCGAACGGCAGCAUGAUCUAGCUUGCUAGAUUGAUGGCGAGUGGCGAACGGGUGAGUAAUACAUCGGAACGUGCCCUGUAGUGGGGAUAACUAGUCGAAAGAUUAGCUAAUACCGCAUACGACCUGAGGGUGAAAGUGGGGGACCGCAAGGCCUCAUGCUAUAGGAGCGGCCGAUGUCUGACUAGCUAGUUGGUGGGGUAAAGGCCCACCAAGGCGACGAUCAGUAGCUGGUCUGAGAGGACGAUCAGCCACACUGGGACUGAGACACGGCCCAGACUCCUACGGGAGGCAGCAGUGGGGAAUUUUGGACAAUGGGCGAAAGCCUGAUCCAGCAAUGCCGCGUGUGUGAAGAAGGCCUCGGUGU